RNAcentral lists this transfer RNA (74 nucleotides) under Listeria monocytogenes. RNAcentral describes it as "tRNA-Ile". It matches the Rfam family "tRNA". Rfam says of the family: Transfer RNA (tRNA) molecules are approximately 80 nucleotides in length. Their secondary structure includes four short double-helical elements and three loops (D, anti-codon, and T loops). The record is from RNAcentral. Lineage: Bacteria; Bacillati; Bacillota; Bacilli; Caryophanales; Listeriaceae.
GGGCCUAUAGCUCAGCUGGUUAGAGCGCACGCCUGAUACGCGUGAGGUCGAUGGUUCGAGUCCAUUUAGGCCCA